This 475-nucleotide ribosomal RNA is filed under the name uncultured Planctomycetales bacterium. Its description in RNAcentral is "bacterial SSU rRNA". It matches the Rfam family "Bacterial small subunit ribosomal RNA", at positions 367 to 832 of the family's 1533-position model. Lineage: Bacteria; Pseudomonadati; Planctomycetota; Planctomycetia; Planctomycetales. The record is from RNAcentral.
CGCAAUGCCCGAAAGGGUGACGAAGCGACGCCGCGUGUGGGAAGAAGGCCUUCGGGUUGUAAACCACUGUCGGGAGUUAAGAAAUGUAAGGAUGUUAAUAGUAUUCUUACUUGACUAAGGCUCCGGAGGAAGCCACGGCUAACUCUGUGCCAGCAGCCGCGGUAAUACAGAGGCGGCAAGCGUUGUUCGGAAUUAUUGGGCGUAAAGAGCAUGUAGGCGGCCAUGUAAGUCGGUUGUGAAAGCCUUCCGCUUAACGGAAGAAUGGCGGCCGAAACUGCAUAGCUUGAGUGCGGUAGGGGAGAGUGGAACUUCUGGUGGAGCGGUGAAAUGCGUAGAUAUCAGAAGGAACGCCGGCGGCGAAAGCGACUCUCUGGGCCGUAACUGACGCUGAGUGUGCGAAAGCUAGGGGAGCAAACGGGAUUAGAUACCCCGGUAGUCCUAGCCGUAAACGAUGGGCACUAAGUAGAGGGGUUUU